UUGAGCGUCAGUACCCACUCUUUCGAAAAUUCUUUUCGUCAGGUCUUGGAGGACACCUUGUCCUCUCAAUGUAGACGCUUGCGAACCCGAUACCGAUCAUGACGUAGUAAUUUCAUUUCGUCCUGUCAAGUUGAAGGCCGCCUGAACACCGAACUUUGUAGUUUGACCUCAGAUCAGACAAGGAUACCCGCUGAACUUAA
Molecule: unclassified non-coding RNA, 200 nt
Filed under: soil metagenome
Description: partial contains internal transcribed spacer 2 and large subunit ribosomal RNA
Source: RNAcentral